CCUACGGGAGGCAGCAGUGAGGAAUAUUGGUCAAUGGACGCAAGUCUGAACCAGCCAAGUAGCGUGCAGGAUGACGGCCCUCCGGGUUGUAAACUGCUUUUAGGGGGGAAUAAAAGGGGGCGCGUGAGCCCCGUAGUGUAUGUACCAUCAGAAAAAGGACCGGCCAAUUCCGUGCCAGCAGCCGCGGUAAUACGGAAGGUCCGGGCGUUAUCCGGAUUUAUUGGGUUUAAAGGGAGCGUAGGCCGGCUUUUAAGUCAGCUGUGCAAGUCCGCGGCUCAACCGUGGAAUUGCCGUUGAAACUGGCGGCCUUGAGUGCACACCGGGCUGCCGGACUUCCUGGUGUAGCGG
RNAcentral lists this ribosomal RNA (348 nucleotides) under uncultured bacterium. RNAcentral's name for it is "partial 16S ribosomal RNA". It matches the Rfam family "Bacterial small subunit ribosomal RNA", at positions 338 to 681 of the family's 1533-position model. The record is from RNAcentral.